Molecule: ribosomal RNA, 427 nt
Filed under: uncultured bacterium
Lineage: Bacteria
Description: bacterial SSU rRNA
Rfam family: Bacterial small subunit ribosomal RNA
Source: RNAcentral
UAGGGAAUCUUCGGCAAUGGACGAAAGUCUGACCGAGCAACGCCGCGUGAAUGAUGAAGGCCUUCGGGUUGUAAAAUUCUGUUAUAAGGGAAGAAAGACACGAGUAGGAAAUGGCUCGUGAGUGACGGUACCUUAUGAGAAAGCCACGGCUAACUACGUGCCAGCAGCCGCGGUAAUACGGAGGGUCCAAGCGUUAUCCGGAUUUAUUGGGUUUAAAGGGAGCGUAGAUGGGUUGUUAAGUCAGUUGUGAAAGUUUGCGGCUCAACCGUAAAAUUGCAAUUGAUACUGGCAGCCUUGAGUAUAGUUGAGGUAAGCGGAAUUCGUGGUGUAGCGGUGAAAUGCUUAGAUAUCACGAAGAACUCCGAUUGCGAAGGCAGCUCACUGGAGUGUCACUGACGCUGAUGCUCGAAAGUGUGGGUAUCAAACA